GUAUGUAUGUGUGUGUAUAUAUAUAUAUGUGUGUGUGUGUGUGUGUGUGUGUGUACACACACACACACACACACACACACACACACACACACACACACAUACUGGGGAUUGGACCCAGGGAUUUGCUCAUACUAAGCAAAUGUGCAACCACUGAGUUACAAACUACCCCUGAAUGU
Urocitellus parryii (Arctic ground squirrel) is the source of this 176-nucleotide non-coding RNA. Lineage: Eukaryota; Metazoa; Chordata; Mammalia; Rodentia; Sciuridae. The record is from RefSeq and is a predicted model, not a curated record.